This is a non-coding RNA of Acanthosepion pharaonis, 93 nucleotides long. NCBI's taxonomy places the organism in Eukaryota, Metazoa, Mollusca, Cephalopoda, Sepiida, Sepiidae. The record is from the annotation of a GenBank genome assembly.
CAGAACGCAAACACCGAUUCCCGUAGGAUCACCGAAGUUAAGCAACGUCGAACCUAUUCAGUACAUAGAUAAGUGACCUCUCGGGAAGUUUGG